AUUGAACGCUAGCGGGAUGCUUUACACAUGCAAGUCGAACGGCAGCGCGGGCUUUCGGGCCUGGCGGCGAGUGGCGAACGGGUGAGUAAUAUAUCGGAACGUGCCCAGUAGCGGGGGAGUAACUACGCGAAAGCGUGGCUAAUACCGCAUACGCCCUGCGGGGAAAGGGGGGAUCGCGAGACCGUCUCACUAUUGGAGCG
Molecule: ribosomal RNA, 200 nt
Filed under: uncultured bacterium
Lineage: Bacteria
Description: partial 16S ribosomal RNA
Rfam family: Bacterial small subunit ribosomal RNA
Source: RNAcentral